Molecule: long non-coding RNA, 1473 nt
Filed under: Solanum tuberosum (potato)
Lineage: Eukaryota; Viridiplantae; Streptophyta; Magnoliopsida; Solanales; Solanaceae
Description: long non-coding RNA (STUB_LNC003134)
Source: RNAcentral
CCUCGAUAGCUCAAUUAGCAAAUCAGAUGCGUUCAACAACCACUAACCCUUUUGAAGAGGGAUUAGAAUAGUGAAUAAUGAUAUCUCAAAGGUCUAAGUUGAGUAAUUUUAUUGAUACAAAACAAAAUCCAAUGACAUUACUAUAUAUAUUCCCAAAGUUGAGUGAUCUUUAGAAAUAUCAACUCUCUGAGAGACAAAUAUUUGAAAUAACACUUGUUAAAUAUUUUGAGCAUUGAAAUGAAACUUCUACAUAUCUGCUUCUUCUUCAAUGGGAAUGGUUCGGAUCACUGGAGUUUGCUAUCAUCAUAAUAUUUUAGUAUGUUGCACAGCGCUUUAUACCCAUCUUUGCUCAUUUAACAAUUCAGAAAUUUCCAUAUAUCUGUAGUCCUUGUCCCUGCUUGUCAUCUGCAAAAAGGAGUCAAGCUAAGUCAAACUGCACAUUUGGAUGGAGCAUUAGGAAUUAGAACUGCAAAUAAAUGAGUGUAAGAAAUGGAUACAAGAGAAAAAAUACCCAUGCCAUGAGAUGUUUACCUUCUCGAGUAUAUGUUUGUAAUAGAUGAUUGCUGCAAGGCAUAUAAACCAGUAUUUAACUUGACUUCCCCCUCCCAACAAAUGUGUAGUUUAGCUGAAGAAGUCAUGUUUCUUGUUUGUCGAAUAGGUCAGUGUCUGACAUCUGAUUGUCCUAGGCCAAACAAUCUUUCCCAGUAGAGAUUUUUUUUUUCACCCCCAACAUAAUCAAAUUGAUUCUAAGAAGCACUAAACUAUAUUACCAUCCAAUUAGCCAGGGUUGGUGCUUUUCCCACAAAACUGCUUGCCUGCAAUAUUAAAAAAGAAAAAGUAGAUAAAAGAGGCUUUAAUAGAUCCAGUAUACCUGAAUAGCAUCGCCAUCACGUGGAUGCUUCCGUGCUCUAUUAUCAGGUACACUUACAAUCUGAAGAAGAAAUAAUGAUAAACUGAGCAAGUGAGAUUACUGAUCCCAGAAAAAUGCUUAGAAAGAGGACACAUUUGAAAUUCAGGAACUACAUACAUGAACUUGUAAACAUGUUUACAAGGGUAAUAGGCAAUUAGAACGAACAGCUGAAAUAAUUUGCGAUAAAUACUCAACAGUUCCUUCAAGCAUCUUCACUCUUCAGCCGCACCUGUUGGACAUGAUCAAAAUAAGACGUCACUAAGGUAUCUUGAUGAAACAAGCGAGGUCCAUUCUGACCCUCAAGUGACUAAUUACUUGAAAAUACCUACUGUAAAAAUAACUGUAUUCAUGAGAAAUGCUUAACAUGAAUAUGUAAACUCAAUGUAUAUGCACUAGUGCUGCGUUUUGUUUUCUGAGCAAGCACUUCAAUUUACUCCUUGCCAUUGACAUGAUUGGUUUAUAUCUUUACCAUGAAUGAUUCCCUACGCAGCAGAUUUACCUCAUACUACAGUAUUGACAAUGAAACUGCUCAUUAAAUGGGGAAAGAUUAUUAUAACCAAAAU